This 206-nucleotide long non-coding RNA is filed under the name Vigna radiata. RNAcentral's name for it is "long non-coding RNA (VRAD_LNC012679)". Lineage: Eukaryota; Viridiplantae; Streptophyta; Magnoliopsida; Fabales; Fabaceae. The record is from RNAcentral.
CCAUGGCUCUAGUAAGAGGUCCAAUGUAGUUCCUUGAUGGUCUUCCAUCAGACCCUCCCUCUUGAAAAGGAUCUGUCCCCAGAUCUGCUUCAACCUGUUGAUCAUCUCCUGUGAAAGGAAUUAAAUCGCAGAUGUUAAAAGUAGGACUGACACCAUAAUUUUCAGGAAGAUCUAAUAUAUAUGCAUUAUCAUUUAUUCUCUUGACC